Long non-coding RNA from Amblyraja radiata (thorny skate), 143 nucleotides. RefSeq lists it as uncharacterized. The record is from RefSeq and is a predicted model, not a curated record. Lineage: Eukaryota; Metazoa; Chordata; Chondrichthyes; Rajiformes; Rajidae. The transcript is spliced from 3 exons.
GGAAAAUUUUCUUCACUGAAAGGAAAGUAAAUAAAGAAGUCGUUCUGCUUUCUACUUUAAGAAUGGCAGCAUUCAAAUUAUGGAUUAGAAUGGAAAAAGAGAGAACUGGUCCUUCUCUAGACAUUUCGGAACAGGGAAAGGAA